GCCGGUUUGGUUCAGUGGAUAGAGCAUCAGCCUGUGGACUGAAGGGUCCCGGGUUCGAUUCCCGGUCAAGGCA
Molecule: transfer RNA, 73 nt
Filed under: Myotis lucifugus (little brown bat)
Lineage: Eukaryota; Metazoa; Chordata; Mammalia; Chiroptera; Vespertilionidae
Rfam family: tRNA
About the family: Transfer RNA (tRNA) molecules are approximately 80 nucleotides in length. Their secondary structure includes four short double-helical elements and three loops (D, anti-codon, and T loops). Further hydrogen bonds mediate the characteristic L-shaped molecular structure. tRNAs have two regions of fundamental functional importance: the anti-codon, which is responsible for specific mRNA codon recognition, and the 3' end, to which the tRNAs corresponding amino acid is attached (by aminoacyl-tRNA synthetases). tRNAs cope with the degeneracy of the genetic code in two manners: having more than one tRNA (with a specific anti-codon) for a particular amino acid; and 'wobble' base-pairing, i.e. permitting non-standard base-pairing at the 3rd anti-codon position.
Source: Rfam by way of RNAcentral